RNAcentral lists this small nuclear RNA (163 nucleotides) under Fukomys damarensis (Damara mole-rat). RNAcentral describes it as "U2 spliceosomal RNA". It matches the Rfam family "U2 spliceosomal RNA". Rfam says of the family: U2 is a small nuclear RNA (snRNA) component of the spliceosome (involved in pre-mRNA splicing). Complementary binding between U2 snRNA (in an area lying towards the 5' end but 3' to hairpin I) and the branchpoint sequence (BPS) of the intron results the bulging out of an unpaired adenosine, on the BPS, which initiates a nucleophilic attack at the intronic 5' splice site, thus starting the first of two transesterification reactions that mediate splicing. The record is from Rfam by way of RNAcentral. Lineage: Eukaryota; Metazoa; Chordata; Mammalia; Rodentia; Bathyergidae.
AUUGCUUCUUGGCCUUUUGGCUAAGAUCAAGUGUAGAUAUAUAUUUAAUGCAUCUCUUCAAAUUUAUCAGAUGAGUAUAAGGAGGAAUUAUUAAUUUUUACUGUGAAUGUUUAAAGAACAGUUUUCCUUGUGUCUUCAUGUCCUGAAAGAAAGCAUAACCCUU